Molecule: transfer RNA, 85 nt
Filed under: Chloroflexi bacterium B3_Chlor
Lineage: Bacteria; Bacillati; Chloroflexota
Description: tRNA-Tyr
Rfam family: tRNA
About the family: Transfer RNA (tRNA) molecules are approximately 80 nucleotides in length. Their secondary structure includes four short double-helical elements and three loops (D, anti-codon, and T loops).
Source: RNAcentral
GGGCAGGUACCCAAGUGGCCAAAGGGGACUGACUGUAAAUCAGUUGGCUCAGCCUUCGGAGGUUCGAAUCCUUCCCUGCCCACCU